This 70-nucleotide non-coding RNA is filed under the name Enterocloster bolteae. RNAcentral also lists the same sequence under 1 other name. The record is from RNAcentral. Lineage: Bacteria; Bacillati; Bacillota; Clostridia; Lachnospirales; Lachnospiraceae.
AACCGAAACGCUCCCACCGCUGGAGCGUCCGCAGGGAACCGCCGCCCUGCGCUGAUGAUGGCAGGCGAGA